CACCCUCCCGCCGCUGCCAAUCCACAAGCGACUCUUCCAAACCGGCAGCCAAUCACGGGCGCGCUAGUUCUGAAUCUAGAAUCGACUAGAGCCCUUCAGUGCAGGGACAUCCCAGAAGGUCUUGAGGCGGGGUGAAAACUAUGAGGCUCUUUCGAGGUCCCAAGAGGGGACCGGAAACGCGCAUUUCCUCGCUGGAUGAGCCUUCGGAGUCCCGUGAACGUUGUGGGGUGGGUGAAUCUCACCAGACUGAUUGCAUUGUCUUGGGAACAGCCAGCUAAGGAUUUCAAGGAUUCUGGGAGAAGUCAGCUUAUGAGCAAACAGCUGGAAGGUAUUAAGAGGGAACUACUGCAAAAUCGAUUUGAGCAGACAAGCUGAAUGGUAA
Crotalus tigris (Tiger rattlesnake) is the source of this 382-nucleotide long non-coding RNA. RefSeq lists it as uncharacterized. The transcript is spliced from 3 exons. The record is from RefSeq and is a predicted model, not a curated record. NCBI's taxonomy places the organism in Eukaryota, Metazoa, Chordata, Lepidosauria, Squamata, Viperidae.